UGUUCGAGCCGCGAAAUUAGUUAUGCACGUGAUUGACAACGUGUUCCUCCUAUUAAAAAACAAGUUUUUUCCCUUUUUUCCAACCUUUCACUAAUGUUGGUUAUUCUGUCUGGUUUGAUCGAUUAAAAUCUUGAUUUUGUUUAUCAUUUGACUCGCCCUAAAACGUGUGUUGGCUGUCAUGAGUGUGUCUGUUGAACAUUGUCUCGAAACCAGUUUUAAUUGAGUGACAAACAAGGCAAUAGUUUCGUCUCUAAUAAACCAGUUACAGCAAAUAUGACGACUCUACAGGAAAUAUUCGAAAUUCUUAAAGAUCUCAAGCAAAACUUGAUAACUGUUCAUGGACCCAAUCCAGUUUUCCCACACCCAAACAAGGAGGAAACCCUGGCCCGAAUAGAGGAUUACAUUAUCCUUGUUGUGGCAGCCAUAAGUCGAGGGGAUUGGCCGUUGCAGUUGCCGAUUCACGGCAGUGACGAGAUGAUGACCUGGAAAUUGGCCAAACAACGACGUAAAUGCUUGCUUCUAUUCCACCUACUAGCCAAGUCCCAUGCACUUUUGCGAACCAACACCACAUCCACCAAACGGGAUAUCUACUACGAAGACGUCUCGUUAUGGGGGAGCCAACCGGUACUGGACAGCAUGGUAACCCAGAUGACAAAACUGCUGAAUAUUCCUCGAUGCUGUCUCAAUAUUGGUGCCACUUCUAAAGGAUUGGUGGCAGGUUCUCUCAACUUUCUCGAUGGCGAUGGCAAGCUCAUUGAUUGCCAAACACCAACUGGGAUUUUGAUACCAAACGAUGUCGAAAAACUUUCUCAAUUCCGGUCCAAAGCUCACCUCGUUUUGGUGGUGGAAAAAGACAGUACGUUCCAGAAACUGAUUGACGAUAAGAUCGAACGCUUCAUCGGUGACUGCAUCCUCAUUACGGGAAAAGGUUAUCCGGACGUCAACACUCGCCGCUUCUUGCGUCGCUUGUGGGAUGAGCUGCAACUUCCCCCUUUGGCGUUAGUGGAUGCAGAUCCUCACGGCAUCUCCAUUCUCGCUGUGUAUCGAUUCGGAAGUCAAAAUUUGGAAGACAUUGAACACUUGUCCACGCCUCAACUGAGAUAUAUCGGUCUUCAGCCAAGCGAUAUUGAAGCUUUGCAGAUUCCCGACGAGGCCAAAUUGCCACUAACCCAACGCGAUCGAUCCCUUGUCGACACCCUGGCCAGCCGUCCCUUUAUAACUCAAAAUCAACUUCUCCACGAUCAGCACGCUAGGAAUAACCCAGCAAAUAACUCAGAUCUGAGUGCUGCUGCAUGUUGCAUGGAAAUGAGGUGAUAGACUCUUGUGCGAACGGGAGCACUUUUGCGGCGCUGGCUGGAAAAGCGCAAGGAUUUCCAGGAGGAUACCAUUUGAAGAGGGUGGUGGUGGGGAGAGAGAGGUAGGAGCGACGCUUGCGCAUUUGCCCGGUCAAAAGGAAGUGUAACGCAAAAAGAAGCGGCCAACUCCCGAAGAACCCCCUCUGUGUACUACGCGACGGGACCUCUAUAAACAGCCCUCGUUUGUCGGCUUCCAGUCGAGAGAGGAAGCUGAGCGCCAUGCAGCACUACCAUGACAUCUCCUCCGACAUUCUCGGCCGUUACUCUCAGAGCCCAGUGGGUACCGCACCAGCCCAAGAAAUUCGCAGAUAAGUUUUGACCAAGGUGUGAUCGUUAAAUAGCGCAAAAGCGACAGUGUCUGUCACGCCGAGUGCGCCGAGUCAUCAAAAUCCAAUAGGCCACAGCAUCCGUUGGCGAGGAAAUCCGCAGGAUCAACAAGUGCCAACCGCUUCGCUGCUGGACACACGGGAGUCGCGCCGCCCUUUCUUUUUUGAAUUGUUGCUUCGCAUGUCGCCGGAAUAAAAAAGAAGAAGAAGAGGCGACUGUCUUGUUCAAUUCCCAUCUUUGAGCAACCGGUUAUAUACAUCUCCGUGUGCUGCGCCAGUGUGUGUGUGUGUAUUUUGGAUCGUGUGUGGAAAGUGUGAGCUCCUAGUCUCAACUUGACGCUCAAUAGUUUGUGGAUCUUCACACGCUCUCCCAUGAGUGCCUCGGGGAAGAGCCAUUCUAUAAGCGGCUAGUGAACAAAAAGGAAAAAAAAAGUUUCAGCAACUCUUUAUCUUCUUCUCUUGUCGAUCCCAGGCGGCAUUUUUUCAAAAAAAUUCAAACCGGAUAAUACGCACAAAGGCGUGAAGGAAAAACAGGAGCGGAAACAAUUUGGUCGAUCCCGGUGGAUCGGGUUUGGAUGAAAAACGUUUUGCGGAAGGAGGAAGUUUGAAGUUAUGAAUCAACUGCGUCAUGGAUGAUCAAGGCGGCACUAUUCAAAUUGUCGUGACGCCCAAUUGUCCGGCGACGGAGAGUUUGCUGGACGGCGGUCAAGAGAAUGCGGACCCUAAUCAAGAAAGUUCGCCGUGCUUACUGGAUCCGACCGCCACUGCGGCUGUAUCAACCGACUGCAGCCGAUCCGUCAUCAGCCACGGGUCCAGCAACAUCAGUUACCAGCAGCGACAACGCCGGGCUCAGUGGAAAGGCAUCGGAACCACUUGCAUGUGGAACGCCUUUCGGGCCAGCUUCUUUGGUCUCCUUUUGCUGGUCUCCGGAUGCAUCGUCGUCCUUGUCGGAUUCUACUCGGAGUUUCCUUCGAUCGAAAUCGCCGUCAACUUUAACCAAACCGUUUCCUUGGUCGAUCCAGAGUCGCAGAAACGUCGAGUCAAGUCCUCCUAUUCCUACAUUGGACCUGUUCUCAUCGGAAUCGGCGUUUUCGUGCUGAUUGGUGUGGGCGUGGCCACGAUGGAGAUGCGAGACAUGACAGCCAAAGUGUUCCCGCUGACGAAACGGCCCUACAAGAAAACCAAGUUGACUUCGGAGGCGCUCGGCACCAUGUUCCAAACUCCAACGCAGCGGAUCAUGAAAGAAAUGAGCGCCAAAGAUAAACGACCGGAACGUCAAACGAGCUUCCGCACUGUUGCAACGCAGACAUUUCGAACUCGCCUGUGGCCUUGGUCAAGGCUCAGGCCGUCGUCGGGUCGUUUCGUGUUUCACGGCAGAAUUGUUUUGAGGUCCUGCCAUCAACUUUCCACGCCCAAAAGCCAACAGAGUGUCAUCCUUCCACAGACUUCCAUCUGCAAACGUGGGCGUCGAUCCCGCUGUCGGCGUCGACGAAUGUUGCUGAUCCACUCCAUGGCGGCCGACUCGCUGUCCGCUUCUUGUCCCCAGCUCGACACUGUUAGCUAAUCAGAGUAAUCACUCUGUGCUGGACUGGAAUGGACUAUACUAAUUGUUGUUGUUGCUGCUACUACUGCCCGUCUGUUCCUGCUGCUCUUGUUUGUUGACUGUCGCCAUUAUAGCUCAAUAUCAGCCUGUCCAGACAUUUUUGGACGGUCAGCGCGUCUCUUUUAGCCUACGCCAUUCCUCUCGCAUAACUAUAAAGACUGGGCUAUAGACUUAUACUACGUACAUUGGAUCUCCAUCGCUUUUUUUAUGUCUUUCCUAUAUAAGAAUAGCUGAUGAUGCCGAGAUGUUCCAGGAAUAGAGAGCGCGACUCUCAUUCCAAAUUUGAUUUAUAUUUUUUAAUCAAGAGAAAGCUCCUCGGUGACGACCUCUCCCUCGCCGCCGGACGACAAUGCAAAUAAACAAAAGUCAACAGAAGCUGAAGAACAAAAGGAAAAUUUGUCGGACAGCAAAUUUUUUUUCUCUCCCCCCACAAGCGCAAGUGAACUGGACUUAAUAAAAGACUUGAGCCAAAAGAGUACAGCAUUCCUCACGUGCUGGCUCAGCGCCUUUCGACUCCGCCAUAUUUUUGUUUACUUUUUUUUUACAAAACCGGCAAAAUGUUUCUUCUUGUAGAAUCUAGACGGAAUUUUAUUUUGUAAACAGCCAAAAUCUGGCUUAACGUCGUGGUACGUAUCAUGGUCGAUCAAUAAACUGGGAUUGACGGACGGAA
RNA transcript from Daphnia pulex (common water flea), 3954 nucleotides. It is a transcript of the gene named meiotic recombination protein SPO11-like, with no coding region annotated. The record is from RefSeq and is a predicted model, not a curated record. The transcript has 11 exons. Lineage: Eukaryota; Metazoa; Arthropoda; Branchiopoda; Diplostraca; Daphniidae.